This 465-nucleotide ribosomal RNA is filed under the name uncultured bacterium. RNAcentral describes it as "partial 16S ribosomal RNA". It matches the Rfam family "Bacterial small subunit ribosomal RNA", at positions 28 to 507 of the family's 1533-position model. The record is from RNAcentral.
GAUGAACGCUGGCGGCGUGCUUAACACAUGCAAGUCGAACGGAAAGGCUCCUGCUUGCAGGGGUACUCGAGUGGCGAACGGGUGAGUAACACGUGGGCGAUCUGCCCUGCACUUCGGGAUAAGCCUGGGAAACUGGGUCUAAUACCGGAUAGGACGAUGGUUUGGAUGCCAUUGUGGAAAGUUUUUCGGUUUGGGAUGAGCUCGCGGCCUAUCAGCUUGUUGGUGGGGUAAUGGCCUACCAAGGCGUCGACGGGUAGCCGGCCUGGGAGGGUGUACGGCCACAUUGGGACUGAGAUACGGCCCAGACUCCUACGGGAGGCAGCAGUGGGGAGUAUUGCACAAUGGGCGCAAGCCUGAUGCAGCGACGCCGCGUGGGGGAUGACGGCCUUCGGGUUAUAAACUCCUUUCGCUAGGGACGAAGCGGAAGUGACGGUACCUGGAGAAGAAGCACCGGCUAACUACGUG